RNAcentral lists this transfer RNA (75 nucleotides) under Patescibacteria group bacterium. Its description in RNAcentral is "tRNA-Val". It matches the Rfam family "tRNA". Rfam says of the family: Transfer RNA (tRNA) molecules are approximately 80 nucleotides in length. Their secondary structure includes four short double-helical elements and three loops (D, anti-codon, and T loops). The record is from RNAcentral.
GGGCACUUGGCGCAGUGGUAGCGCGUCUGGUUUACAUCCAGCAGGUCGGGGGUUCGAAUCCCUCAGUGCCCACCA